GCUAAGAAACGUUGGAUGACUCAGCUCGUCCGUCGAUGAAGAAUGUAGUUGGCUGUGAGAAAUAGUGUGAACUGCAGAACACAUUGAUCACCAACACUCUUGCGGCCCCAGGUUCCUCCAGGGCAAGGGUGUCA
Molecule: ribosomal RNA, 134 nt
Filed under: Patagioenas fasciata monilis
Lineage: Eukaryota; Metazoa; Chordata; Aves; Columbiformes; Columbidae
Description: 5.8S ribosomal RNA
Rfam family: 5.8S ribosomal RNA
About the family: 5.8S ribosomal RNA (5.8S rRNA) is a component of the large subunit of the eukaryotic ribosome.
Source: Rfam by way of RNAcentral